This is a transfer RNA of Neotoma lepida (desert woodrat), 73 nucleotides long. It matches the Rfam family "tRNA". Rfam says of the family: Transfer RNA (tRNA) molecules are approximately 80 nucleotides in length. Their secondary structure includes four short double-helical elements and three loops (D, anti-codon, and T loops). Lineage: Eukaryota; Metazoa; Chordata; Mammalia; Rodentia; Cricetidae. The record is from Rfam.
GGAGAGGUGGCUCAGAGGUUAAGAGCACUGACUGUUCUUCCAGAGGUCCUGAGUUCAAUUCCCAGCAUCCACA